GACGAACGCUGGCGGCGUGCUUAACACAUGCAAGUCGUACGGUAAGGCCCUUUCGGGGGUACACGAGUGGCGCACGGGUGAGUAACACGUGAGUAACCUGCCCACAACUUUGGGAUAACGCUAGGAAACUGGUGCUAAUACUGGAUAUGUGCUCCUGCUGCAUGGUGGGGGUUGGAAAGCUCCGGCGGUUGUGGAUGGACUCGCGGCCUAUCAGCUUGUUGGUGGGGUAGUGGCCUACCAAGGCGGCGACGGGUAGCCGGCCUGGGAGGGUGACCGGCCACAUUGGGACUGAGAUACGGCCCAGACUCCUACGGGAGGCAGCAGUGGGGAAUAUUGCACAAUGGGCGCAAGCCUGAUGCAGCAACGCCGCGUGCGGGAUGACGGGCUUCGGGUUGGAAACCGCUUUCAGCAGGGACGAAGCUUUUUGUGACGGUACCUGCAGAAGAAGCACCGGCUAACUACGUG
Molecule: ribosomal RNA, 465 nt
Filed under: uncultured bacterium
Lineage: Bacteria
Description: partial 16S ribosomal RNA
Rfam family: Bacterial small subunit ribosomal RNA
Source: RNAcentral